Molecule: ribosomal RNA, 709 nt
Rfam family: Eukaryotic large subunit ribosomal RNA
UACAAGUACCCGUGAUGGAAAGUUGCAAAGAACUUUGAAGAGAGAGUUAAACAGUACGUGAAACCGAAUAAGUGGAAGCGAGUAGAGUUAUCGUAAGGUAGCUGUAAUAAGCCGUUUGGUAAUUCCAUUGCGUUGUGCUCAUGUCUCGGCAACGAGGGUGGUGCGAUGUAUUUGGUGUACCAAUGGUGCACUUGCAGUUACUGCGCUGGCUGCUUUGAGGCGGCGGCAUUAAGUUCAUGUCGGGGGUAACGCUUGCGUUAUGCACUGCAUGGAUGGAAGGUUGUCUGCUUUAAAGUUCUGCUUAGCCAAAGGUAGAUAAGUUGAUACUAUGGAUUUUCUUGUCGUUAAUCGCAUGCGAUUGCGGCACUUGGGUCAAUGGUGUUGGCUUGUUGAAAAUUGGCGAGGCCAGUGUAAAAGAUAAUCACCUAUUCGUCCCGUCUUGAAACACGGACCAAGGAGUGUACCGUAUACGCGAGUCAUUGAGUGUAAAACUCAAAGGCGUAACGAAAGUAAAUGCACUUUCCGAGUGCUGAUAUGCGAUUGGUGGCAUUACGGUGUCGCCAAGCAGCAUAGCCCUGUCUCGAUUGCUUGCAAUGGGGCGGAGGUAGAGCGUAUGCGGUGUGACCCGAAAGAUGGUGAACUAUGCCUGAGCAGGAUGAAGCCGGAGGAAACUCUGGUGGAAGUCCGAAGCGGUUCUGACGUGCAAAUC